This 440-nucleotide ribosomal RNA is filed under the name uncultured bacterium. Its description in RNAcentral is "partial 16S ribosomal RNA". It matches the Rfam family "Bacterial small subunit ribosomal RNA", at positions 338 to 795 of the family's 1533-position model. The record is from RNAcentral.
CCUACGGGUGGCAGCAGUGAGGGAUAUUGGUCAAUGGGGGAAACCCGGAACCAGCAACGACGCGUGAGGGAAGACGGUGUUCGGAUUGGAAACCUCUGUCCUCGGGGAAGAGAAUGACGGUAGCAGAGGAGGAAGCUCCGGCCAACUACGUGCCAGCAGCCGCGGUAACACGUAGGGAGCAAGCGUUGUCCGGAUUUACUGGGUGUAAAGGGUGCGUAGGCGGCCCUGCAAGUCAGAAGUGAAAUCCAUGGGCUUAACCCGUGAACUGCUUUUGAAACUGUAGGGCUGGAGUGGAGUAGAGGCAGGCGGAAUUCCCGGUGUAGCGGUGAAAUGCGUAGAGAUCGGGAGGAACACCAGUGGCGAAGGCGGCCUGCUGGGCUUUAACUGACGCUGAGGCACGAAAGCGUGGGUAGCAAACAGGAUUAGAUACCCUAGUAGUC